UACGAAGGAUGCAAGCGUUAUCCGGAUUCAUUGGGUUUAAAGGGAGCGUAGGUGGCCCUAUAAGUCAGUGGUGAAAUCUCUCGGCUUAACCGAGAAAUUGCCAUUGAUACUGUAGGGCUUGAGUAUAGUUGCCGUUGGCGGAAUAUGACAUGUAGUGGUGAAAUACAUAGAGAUGUCAUAGAACACCGAUUGCGAAGGCAGCUGACGAAACUAUAACUGACACUGAGGCUCGAAAGUGCGGGGAUCAAACAGG
This 253-nucleotide ribosomal RNA is filed under the name uncultured bacterium. Its description in RNAcentral is "partial 16S ribosomal RNA". It matches the Rfam family "Bacterial small subunit ribosomal RNA", at positions 524 to 776 of the family's 1533-position model. The record is from RNAcentral.